Long non-coding RNA from Hippocampus zosterae (dwarf seahorse), 3979 nucleotides. RefSeq lists it as uncharacterized. Lineage: Eukaryota; Metazoa; Chordata; Actinopteri; Syngnathiformes; Syngnathidae. The transcript is spliced from 2 exons. The record is from RefSeq and is a predicted model, not a curated record.
UUUUCAGGCAGUGUGAUACGAUCAUUCCGGCGGGCUGCUUCUUAACACAAUUUGGGCGUAUUCUACUCUGCUGUAUCUCCAACAACAGUAAUGUGUGUUUGCUGUCUAGUCGAUACACAGUAACCACUGGAAAAUGCCUGUGCGCGCGCGCACACACACACACACACACACACACACACACACACACACACACACACACACACACACACACACACACACACACACACACACACACACACACACACACACACACACACACACACACACACACACACACACACACACACACUCGCUUGCCCAGAGGACAAUAACAAAGCAGGCAUCGCAACACGUCAACCAUCCACACAUCCCCGGACUGCAGGUAUUCUUCCCGUAAGCAGAGGCUUAAAAAACACACACGCACGUACACACACACACACAGCACACAAAAUGCACGUGCUCCAUAGGCUCAGUUCCCAACACAGUAUUUCCUGAAAACGAAGACCGCCAGAAUGUGUGCUGCGGCCUGACCCAAGGGUCACACGUGAGUUGGAGCCUGUCCCGGCUGACGUUGGGAAAGAGGCGGGUUGCAUUCUGCGUUGGUUCGGGGAGAAAAAGCCAAACCCUUGCAACAGGGAGGCGAGAAUCCAACGGUGAGGUAGAUGUGCCACCGGGCAUUGGCUCCUGAUUGUUUCAACUCCGACUAAAUGUACAAAACUCGGACGAAAAAAAAAAACUAUAAGACAUAAGCAUGCUUUCCCCAGUAGUUCUGCUGAACCAAAUAAAAAUACUAAUUAAAAAAAGCACAUUGGUGUGUUUUGGAAUAUUCCAAGAUAACACAUUUUAAAAACUAGCUCUUUUUUAAUGUGUUUUAAAAAUAAAAUACUGACUCGCUGAAUACCGAUUUGACUUGAUACCGCGAUAACUGCAAGAAAGAAUAUGGAUGAAAUCUAUUUAUUGUCGCGUCUUAUAAUCAACCAAUCCACAUGUAAGCAUGUAAGAAAAAUGGCGGAAACCAAACUGCAAUGUCUUCUUCUUUUUUUUUAAACAUAAUCAUAAAAUAUAAAUACAGAAAGAUAUCAUGUUCCAAUCUGUUUUACAGAUGAAUUCAUUUUUACUUUCAUGUGUACGUGCAACGCACCUUCCAUUUGUUGCUUGGAAAGAUUUUCCAUCGCGAUGUAUUUGUUAAAAACAGAUUUUUAAAAUGUUAUUUAAUGUCAUAUAUAAAUAGAAAUACACAAUAUAAUCUGAUCUUAUUUUUCACUGUUCGAGGACACAUCAGCAAACGAUGUAAUUGAUGCAUUUAUUUAUUUUUUCAUUGUUUUGUUUACGACUUCUUCCCCCCCCCCCUACCCCUUCAUAUCCAAACCUUGUUCAUUUUUCACUCUCCUCCACAGUAUCGGUGAUUCCUAUUUUUCCAGAUUCUAAAAAUUGCUGGCUUCCCCGAUUGUCUUUCUUCUAAGUUUGACCUCCUCUCGGGCAGGUUAACGAGCCAACAUGUUUUCUAUCCCCAUUUGGAUAUUUGCAAAGGGGAGGGUCGCCACAGACUAGCUCUGUCGACAGGCCGUCCAUUCAUCUCCAGGGGCCGGAACAACAGAGGGGGCUUUCUGACGGAGCGCCGGCACCUGGCCGCCGAUGGACGCAACAUCAGAGGUCGGGUGGAGGCGGCGGCGGCGGCGGCGGCACCGGUUGCCACACCUGAAUAAACCCUCCUCCUCUUCCAACCUUGUACUCACAUCGAGACCACCCCCCCCCCCCUCACCAACCACAUCAAAUGGUGUGAAAUCCUGCGAGUACGAGAGGCGAGCCAAAGGCGGUGCGGAGGAAGCCUUCAGCCGUUGGCCUGUACAAACAGGCCACUCAGGUGCUGCUGCACACUGCACUUUUCAUCCAGGGGGGAGGGCAGGCGAGAAGAUGGAAGUGUAUUUAUCCAGGUGUCGGCGCUAAUGUCAUAUCAGAGAGGGGCGGGGUCGACGGGUGGGGGGUAGGGGCCACCUCACAGGGACAGGCCAGCAUCUAUGUUCAAGUUGAGACUCUUCCAAGUAGAAAGUUACGGUGGGCAUUCAUUUUCAUUUUGUCAGCGUCGUGACCUGCCAUUCAAUGCACCUUACACGUGGCGGCAAAGUUCUUUUAUUUUUCCAAGAAGUCACAAAUUGUCAAAGUACUCUUAGAGGAAAGACCCUUUUCAUCAUGUUGCCGCACUUCUCGAUGGCAGAAGACAGUUUGCCACAUGCUCAUUGAUGACUAAACUGGCUUUUUCGGUGCGCCGGAUUAAUGGUACAGAUGUGCGCCUUUGACACCGACAUGGACUGCGUGAUGAUGUUAGCUAGCAGGUUAGCUCUUAUCCAUCCAGCCAUCCAUCCACUUUCCGAUCCGCUUCAUCCUCACAAGGGUCGCGGGGGGAUGCUGGAGCCUAUCCCAGCUAUCUUGGGGCAGUAGGCGGGGGACACCCUGAACCGGUUGCCAGACGAUCGCAGGGCACACAGAGACGAAUAAGCAUCAGCGCUCACAAUCACAUCUCGGGACAAUUUAGAGUGUUCCGUAAACCUGCUGUGCAUGUUUUUGGAAUGUGGGAGGAAACCGGAGAAACCCGGAGAAAACCCACGCAGGCCUGGGGAGAACAUCCCAUACUCCACACAGGGAGGCCAGAAUUGAACCCUGCACCUUUGGGGGUUAGCUAAUACGUUUCGCAAAAUGCAAAGGCAACAAAACAUUUUCUACACAGCCUACAUGUAAGAAAAUGGCGGCUUGGUUGCCCCGCUGUCCUUUUAAGAAAUGGGUACUCCUUGAAAUCUUCCCUGCCCAGCACUAUGCAAUUGAUUCAUCUUCCUUGAUCACCGGUUCCACUACUAUUAUUUAUUUUGAAUUCAUUUGGGAAAUUUGAUGAAAUAAAUGAACUUUUUGCGGUUAAUGCGGUAGUGGAAGCACAAACACAUAGCAGGUAUAGCUAUCGUUGAACAGAGAUGCUUGUCCCGUCCCAAAUGUUUGUCAAAAGGAGACAACGCGCACGGUUUGAAAGGACCCUCGCCGCACACAUUGUGUCCCCCCCCCUUCCCCGCCGGACGGAACGCCGUAUGCUGGCACCGCCCCCGCCGUGCUGUGGCUAUCACGGUACAGUGUACAAGACAAGCAUACAGAGGCGACGCGGACAAAAAGUCAAUUUGUUCACAGCAACGGCCGCACAAAAGGCGCCAGUUGCUCGGCAGAGACGGGGGGCCCCCCCGCUUUAAAGAGGCCGGGGGCCCGUGAUGCAUGCGUCUCUGGCCUCCAGUCCCUCCCGUGGCGCUGCGACGGUGCCUUUUCAUUAUUUAUCUCCGGCCAGCUCGGGAGAGGGGAAACUAAUUAAGAGCUGCCUGCAGGUGGGCCGCUGCAGGCUUUUACAGGUCUGAGGAUGAGGAGGAGGACUGACCACCGCAGGUCACGGGAGGACAGUGCCACAACAGGGUUUGAGUGAAGACAUGGAAGAAGAGGGUUUAGGUUUGUGACGGAGGCCGAGCAACUCACUCGUUAAAGACACAAAAUUUGGGAAAAACUCCAUCAACUGUCCAACACAUGUAGACUUGAAAUCGGUAAAUUCAUUAGAAUAAAUAAAGAAAUUUGGAACAGCCUGUAUGAGCUUCCAAACCCUAGGCAAGAGUCGAAAAAUUGUCCUGUAAAUGUCAUGGGCUCAUUUCAAGUGCCUCCACCACACGCAAAAAAAUAAAUAAAUAAAAAUAUGUGAGAUAAUUGACGGUAGAAAAAUAAAUAAACCAAUUUAAUAUUGAUAAUAAUGAUAAGAAGAAAAAGAAAAGUUCAAAUAUAAAUAUUUUAACAAAAUUAGACAUAAUUGUGUUUUAAAAAGAGAAAUAAAAACGAAAAUGUGUUUGUAUUGUAUAUAUGUUUUUUGUUUUUUUUUUUCAAAAAUGGUUGGGGAGUAAAAAUUGUUUCAACAGCCCAAAAAAACAUGAAAAUUAAACCACAAUGACUUUGCAGUAGUAGUCUUACUAGGAAAAAAAAACAA